RNAcentral lists this ribosomal RNA (443 nucleotides) under uncultured bacterium. RNAcentral describes it as "partial 16S ribosomal RNA". It matches the Rfam family "Bacterial small subunit ribosomal RNA", at positions 338 to 795 of the family's 1533-position model. The record is from RNAcentral.
CCUACGGGUUGCUGCAGUGGGGAAUAUUGGGCAAUGGCCGCAAGCCUGACCCAGCAACGCCGCGUGAAGGAAGAAGGCUUUCUGGUUUUAAACUUCUUUUCUCAGGGACGAAGAACGUGACGGUACCUGAUGUAUAAGCCACCGCUAACUACGUGCCAGCAGACGCGGGAAUCCGUAGGUGGCAAUCGUUAUCCGGAUUUACUGGGUGUAAAGGGCGUGUAGGCGGGGAAGCAAGUCAGAGGUGAAAACCAUGGACUCAAACUGUGGCCUGCAUUUGAAACUGUUGAUCUUGAGUACGGGAGAGGCAGACGGAAUGCGUGGUGUAGCGGUGAAAUGCGUAGAUAUUAGGAGGAACACCAGUGGCGAAGGCGGUAUACUGGAGAGCAACUGACGCUGAGGCGCGAAAGCGUGGGGAGCAAACAGGAUUAGAUACCCGGGUAGUC